Molecule: microRNA, 22 nt
Filed under: Cavia porcellus (domestic guinea pig)
Lineage: Eukaryota; Metazoa; Chordata; Mammalia; Rodentia; Caviidae
Description: cpo-miR-32-5p
Gene: cpo-miR-32-5p
Source: miRBase by way of RNAcentral
UAUUGCACAUUUCUAAGUUGCA